This 404-nucleotide ribosomal RNA is filed under the name uncultured bacterium. RNAcentral describes it as "bacterial SSU rRNA". It matches the Rfam family "Bacterial small subunit ribosomal RNA", at positions 28 to 412 of the family's 1533-position model. The record is from RNAcentral.
GAUGAACGCUGGCGGCGUGCUUAACACAUGCAAGUCGAACGGGAAACAUUUUAUUGAAGCUUCGGCAGAUUUAGUUUGUUUCUAGUGGCGGACGGGUGAGUAACGCGUGGGUAACCUGCCUCACACUGGGGGAUAACAGUCAGAAAUGACUGCUAAUACCGCAUAAGCACACGUGAUCGCAUGAUCGAGCGUGAAAAACUCCGGUGGUAUGAGAUGGACCCGCGUCUGAUUAGCUAGUUGGUGGGGUAAUGGCCCACCAAGGCGACGAUCAGUAGCCGGCCUGAGAGGGUGAACGGCCACAUUGGGGACUGAGACACGGGCCCAAACUCCUACGGGAGGCAGCAGUGGGGAAUAUUGCACAAGUGGGGGAAACCCUGAUGCAGCGACGCCGCGUGAAGGAUGAA